UCCCAUAUGGUCUAGCGGUUAGAAUUCCUGGUUUUCAGCCGGGUGGCACAGGUUUAACUCCCGUUAUGGGAA
This 72-nucleotide transfer RNA is filed under the name Danionella translucida. It matches the Rfam family "tRNA". From Rfam's summary of the family: Transfer RNA (tRNA) molecules are approximately 80 nucleotides in length. RNAcentral also lists the same sequence under 1 other name. The record is from Rfam by way of RNAcentral. Lineage: Eukaryota; Metazoa; Chordata; Actinopteri; Cypriniformes; Danionidae.